This 501-nucleotide ribosomal RNA is filed under the name uncultured bacterium. RNAcentral describes it as "partial 16S ribosomal RNA". It matches the Rfam family "Bacterial small subunit ribosomal RNA", at positions 30 to 523 of the family's 1533-position model. The record is from RNAcentral.
AUUGAACGCUGGCGGCAGGCUUAACACAUGCAAGUCGAGCGGGGGAAGGUAGCUUGCUACCGGACCUAGCGGCGGACGGGUGAGUAAUGCUUAGGAAUCUGCCUAUUAGUGGGGGACAACAUCUCGAAAGGGAUGCUAAUACCGCAUACGUCCUACGGGAGAAAGCAGGGGAUCUUCGGACCUUGCGCUAAUAGAUGAGCCUAAGUCGGAUUAGCUAGUUGGUGGGGUAAAGGCCUACCAAGGCGACGAUCUGUAGCGGGUCUGAGAGGAUGAUCCGCCACACUGGGACUGAGACACGGACCAGACUCCUACGGGAGGCAGCAGUGGGGAAUAUUGGACAAUGGGGGGAACCCUGAUCCAGCCACGCCGCGUGUGUGAAGAAGGCCUUAUGGUUGUAAAGCACUUUAAGCGAGGAGGAGGCUACUUUAGUUAAUACCUAGAGAUAGUGGACGUUACUCGCAGAAUAAGCACCGGCUAACUCUGUGCCAGCCGCCGCAGUAA